UAGGGAAUCUUCGGCAAUGGACGAAAGUCUGACCGAGCAACGCCGCGUGAGUGAAGAAGGUUUUCGGAUCGUAAAGCUCUGUUGUAAGAGAAGAACGAGUGUGAGAGUGGAAAGUUCACACUGUGACGGUAUCUUACCAGAAAGGGACGGCUAACUACGUGCCAGCAGCCGCGGUAAUACGUAGGUCCCGAGCGUUGUCCGGAUUUAUUGGGCGUAAAGCGAGCGCAGGCGGUUAGAUAAGUCUGAAGUUAAAGGCUGUGGCUUAACCAUAGUACGCUUUGGAAACUGUUUAACUUGAGUGCAGAAGGGGAGAGUGGAAUUCCAUGUGUAGCGGUGAAAUGCGUAGAUAUAUGGAGGAACACCGGUGGCGAAAGCGGCUCUCUGGUCUGUAACUGACGCUGAGGCUCGAAAGCGUGGGGAGCGAACAGGAUUAGAUACCCUGGUAGUCCACGCCGUAAACGAUGAGUGCUAGGUGUUAGGUCCUUUCCGGGACUUAGUGCCGCAGCUAACGCAUUAAGCACUCCGCCUGGGGAGUACGACCGCAAGGUUG
This 550-nucleotide ribosomal RNA is filed under the name uncultured bacterium. RNAcentral's name for it is "bacterial SSU rRNA". It matches the Rfam family "Bacterial small subunit ribosomal RNA", at positions 355 to 896 of the family's 1533-position model. The record is from RNAcentral.